Vespa mandarinia (Asian giant hornet) is the source of this 4537-nucleotide unclassified non-coding RNA. The record is from RefSeq and is a predicted model, not a curated record. NCBI's taxonomy places the organism in Eukaryota, Metazoa, Arthropoda, Insecta, Hymenoptera, Vespidae.
UAUGACGUAUGAGAAACGAAGGAAGAUGAGAAGCAAAGGGAACCUUUCCCAGAGCAACUAGCCCCUCGCAAAGAGAGAGAGAAAGAGAGAAAGAAAGAGAAAAAAGAGAAAGAAAUAUAUAUAUAUAUAGAGAAAGAGAGAGAGAGAGAGAGAGAGAGAAAGAGAGCGAGUGAAGGAACGAAGAAGAAGAAAAAGAGAAGUAGUUUAAUCGCACUUCUGUAAAAGGAAGAAAUAUUAAAACCAAGAGACAAUAGAAUAAAGAGAGAAGGAAAAUAAAGAGAGAUAGUGUCGAUAGGUGGGAGGGUGUGCGCGCAUAAAAAAAAAAAAAGCCCAAGGAAAAGAGAUUGGCAGCCAUAUUUUCCCGACGUCGUCGUUUCAUUCUAUGGCCCAUGGUGCCGUUUUUACUUGGAAUCUUUAAAGCUGCUGCUCGUCAGCGACCUCGACGAGCCAACGUAUUCGCGCCGCCGCCGUGUAGAAAUUUAAAGAGAACGGCCGAGGAUAGGAGUUAGUGUAAGAGCUCAGAGAGAUAAAGACGGACGGGCAAAGAGAGAGAAAAAGUAGUAGGAGAAGAGAAGGAUAGAAGGAGAGAUAACGAUAAGUUAUCGGACGCUAAUGAUACGGCGUGGCGGCCGGAGAGAGUGUCGAGUGUGCGUGUAAACGGUGCUAGAAGAGCGCGAGAAUCAAUGGACGUACUUUCGUCUUGUUUUUUGGAAAAGAACAAGAAAAAAGAAAGAAAUUAAAAGAAAAGACGAAGAUCAAAGGUGGAGAAUAAAAUCAUUACUAUUACGUGUUACGUUAUCUAUGAUAUUCUAACGGCUAACGAGGAGAAAGAGACGGCAAGACAGUCGCGACAUUCUUGUGAGAACAACGACGACGACGACGACGACGACGACGACGACGACGACGACGAGGACGACGAGGACGACGAGGACGACGGAGAAGAGGCCUUCGAUCUUACGAAGAAUUACAUUUGAUUCUUCGUGAUUCAUAAUUCCUCGUCAUUAUCAUCGUCAUCGUCAUCAUCAUCAUCAUCGUCAUCUUCUUUUUCUUCAUCUUCCUUCUCUUCUUCUACGUCGAUAGGCUUACCCGUGAAAACGGAAAUCUUUGGUAUAUCUCUCACAUCGCACACAGUCACGCGAUACCGCGUACAUCAGCUCCACGAGAUGGAGAGACGAGCUGCUUUUGUGCUCCUUGGAAUGCUAUAUUUAGCGGGCACCCUCGAGUCGGUCCAGGCAGUGAUCUAUUCGGGACCGAUGAUCGUACACAAGGGUGAAUCUUGGAGUAUCGAAUGCAGCGGCCUCCAGCCGGACGAUAACAUUAGGUGGACCAGAAACGGUCAGACUCUCGAGCCGGAGUUGGCGAGCGGUCAAUUGAUCGUCCGUCCGAAGGCCAAGACCGGAGGAAGCGAGCUAACAGCGACUCAUGCCACGGAGUUCCACGAAGGCGACUACAAGUGCACGCCCGACAGCUCCGAUGCUUUUCAUCUAUCUCUAUAUUUCGACGUGAAGAUUCGAGUACUUACACAAAAGGAGACACCCCUUUCGUUGGAGUGCGGUAAUCGAAGCACAGGAGAUAAAGCAAUAUGGUAUAAGGAAAAAAUGCCGAUAUUGACGACAAUGGUUGGUAAAGAGGACCUCAUCAAGAUAGACAACGAGACUGGUACCUUGGAUGUAUUAAAAAUUGACGAUAUUGUCGUUUAUGGAAAUUAUUCUUGCAAAGUAGGAAAUACCUCGACUGACUACAGGAUCGUACCUAAACCUACCGUUGUCUUACCCGAAUCGACUAGCGUCGUCGAAGGUGAAAAAUUACUUUUAGUAUGUAACGGUAAACACAGUCCAGGUGUCAAGAUCAUAUGGACAUUUGGAAAUCAAAAUUAUACCGCCAGCAAGGGUAGAGUAAAGAUUUCGCAAGACCAAGAGAGAGGAAUUUACGGUGCAGUAUUGACGGUAGAAAACAUCGAGAUGAACGAUCGCGGUAUUAUCCACUGCAGGGUGUCUUAUAAUUGGUCCGACCCGGUGGAAGGUCAUUCGGCGCAAGCUGUCACUUUACUUAGGGUCAAGGACAAGCUCGCCGCACUUUGGCCUUUCCUUGGUAUCUGCGGUGAGGUCGUCGUACUUUGCGCCAUUAUUCUUGUUUAUGAAAAGAAACGAAAUAAGGCCGAACUUGACGAGUCCGAUACCGAGCAGAGUCCCGACACUCACGAGACAGAGCCUAAGAACGACGAAUCAUUAGAAUAUUAUAUUCCUCUGCACGGACCUCUCCCACCUUCGGAUCUUCCAGUUCACCCACCUGUGACACCUCCACCCGAACCAUCUAAGUACGAAUAUAUUCGAUUCAACGUCCCAUCUAGAGAACCAACUCGACAUCCGCCCUUUAAAUCAGCACCAUCGUGAUUAACAAGUAACCCUAAUUAUUCAUCAACUAUAUGACGAAUAUUUUAUUGGAACGACCAACCGAAAUCAACGAUCAUUUAUAUGAAUAUAUCUUAUUUAUUCUUGUCUUCCUCUCGCCAUCUUGGUUCACCAAGAAAGUCAUGUGGAGGGGGGGAAGAGGGAGAGGAAGAGAAUACUUUACUGUAAACCAACGCCUAACAAGGAUUCCGAUGUCAGGCAGAGAAAGUGAAGAGUCAAAAUUUAAGCGGCGGAAGAACGAGCGCGAUGCAUAUACAUAUAUACCAAGAGAAAAACAAAUUGAGAUAAGGAAUACGAAACGUGGUAUUUAAUGGAGUGACAACUUAAAACCAGCCCGGAAUACUUAGCGAAUAUGGAUCUUCAUCGAGGAAGAAAAAUAAAGAUAAAGAUUGAUAGAUAAAGAUAGAAAGAGAGAGAUAGAUAGAUAAAGAGAGAGAGGGAGAGAGAGAGAGAGAGAAAGUAUGUAUAUGUGUAUGUAUGUGUGUGCAUGUGUAUAUGCGUAUUAAGUAUGCAAGAAAGAGAAAGAGAGAGAGAGAGAGAGAGAAAAAAAGAGCGAGAGAGAAAAAGAGCGAGAGAGAAAGAGAGAGAGAGAAAGCGAGAGAGAGAAUAAAAGCAUUAUAUGCCACAGUGUGUGUUAUUGCGUAAAAGAAAGAAAAAGAAAAAAGGAAAUGAAAGAAAAAUAUAGUAAGAUGGAAAAAUUAGGAGAGAGAAAAUAAAAUAAAAUAAAAUAAAAUAAAAUAAAAUAAAAUAAAAAAUGGGAGAUUGUGGAUAAACGCGCGGAAAUUAACAUUUACGAACGAGUUAAAUUAAGCCUUAAUAUGGUGUUCGCUCCAUUUACCCAGACGUUCGUCUGUUCGUACUCUUGACUACAUUGCUUUGAUCGAUAGAAAAAUGAUGUGCUGAUGUGUCCUCCGUAUGUGUGUGCGUCAUAAACGUGCGCGUUCGUCUACGUUCGCGCGCGCGCGCGCGCGUGUGUGUCGUUGCAUAUAUAUAUAUAUAUAUAUAUAUAUAUAUAUAUAUGCGCGCACGUGUACUGCCUGCGCGCGCGCGCGUGCGCGCGUAUGUGUAUGUAUGCGAGUGUGUGUGUGUGUGUAUGUGAUGCUGCUCGAUGUGUACGUUUGGAUAAGAAAAAAAUAUCCGUGUAAUUAACGUUCAGAGGAGAGAAAGUAAAGGGCGCGAGAGUCAUGAUGAUAAUGAUGAUAACAUGAUUAUGAUGAUGAUGAUGAUGAUGAUGAUGAUGAUGAUGAUGAUGAUGGCGAUGAUGAAGCAGCGUACGCAAGAUGCAUUCAAAAUGGCGAUCUGGAUAUGGCAUUACGUAUGAUUAAUCUGUGUCAAACGGACAAGAAUGAAAGAAGUCGGUUAUUAUAAUUGCCGAUACGAUUUGUCCGCUUCGGAGAAUGCGAUUGCUCGUGCGCUUGCGCGCCCGUGAUUAGUGAUUACGAGAAAGAAAAACAAAUCUUAUUUGUUGCAAUUAAUCUUAAUGCAUUAGUAUGAUGGUCGGUCGCGCAUACGUUCAUCACAUAUUUUAGUAUCGUUCUUCUGAAACAAGAAAAUCAGAGUGAUUGGGAGAGAGGUAGAUGGAGUAGAGAGUGAAGGAACGUCAAGUCAAAAGUGACGGACCUUUGUGGCUUCUCUCCUGUGUGUAAUCUUCGUGCACAUGAUCGACGAAAGUCCAGAAAGAGAGAAAGAAAAAAUGGAAGAAAGAACAAACAAACAAACAAACAAACAAAUAAAAAAGUAAAUAAAUAAAAACAAAGGAAAAAAAAGAACAAAAAAAGAAAAAGAAGAAAAAACAAUCUUAUGGUAGGCCCGGAAAUGUGCUCGAUACUACUAGUUACAUUAUAACAUUAUGAUAUAGGAUCGACGGGGCAAUGUUGGCGUUAAUAUUUGACUUCCGAUUUCACUCAUCACAACCAUUUCGGAGGUACGGAGAACAACUUACCUUUGGCGUCGCCUUAUUACAAUUAUAAAUCACCAAUUACCAAAUGAUAUCGGAAGUCUUGCCGCGCCAUCGACGCCGUUGUUAACGACAUUACACUGUAAUUAAUACUGUAAUACUAUUGCCAUCGUUACUACUGCUGCUACUAUCGUUAUUAUGAUUAUUACAAGUAUUAUCGUUAAUUUUA